UACGAAGGGGGCUAGCGUUGUUCGGAAUUACUGGGCGUAAAGCGUGCGCAGGCGGCUUCUCAAGUCAGGGGUGAAAGCCCAGAGCUCAACUCUGGAAUUGCCUUUGAGACUGAGUGGCUUGAGUACGAGAGAGGUGAGUGGAAUUCCCAGUGUAGAGGUGAAAUUCGUAGAUAUUGGGAAGAACACCGGUGGCGAAGGCGGCUCACUGGCUCGUGACUGACGCUCAUGCACGACAGCGUGGGGAUCAAACAGG
Molecule: ribosomal RNA, 253 nt
Filed under: uncultured bacterium
Lineage: Bacteria
Description: partial 16S ribosomal RNA
Rfam family: Bacterial small subunit ribosomal RNA
Source: RNAcentral